RNAcentral lists this non-coding RNA (105 nucleotides) under Picochlorum sp. RCC944. Lineage: Eukaryota; Viridiplantae; Chlorophyta; Trebouxiophyceae. The record is from RNAcentral.
AGAAGUGGAACGCAGAGCAACUAGAGGACGUUGUGAGAUUCACGGAGAUUCUCACCUCCAAAACCAUCAAGGACCUUGAGAUGGUGAAGCUGCUUUGGUUGGACA